This 31-nucleotide transfer RNA is filed under the name Drosophila mettleri. RNAcentral describes it as "partial tRNA-Met". The record is from RNAcentral. RNAcentral also lists the same sequence under 2 other names. Lineage: Eukaryota; Metazoa; Arthropoda; Insecta; Diptera; Drosophilidae.
AUUUAUAAAGGUUAUAACCCUUUUCUUUUUA